UACGUAGGGUGCAAGCGUUGUCCGGAAUUAUUGGGCGUAAAGAGCUCGUAGGCGGUCUGUCGCGUCGGACGUGAAAACCCAGGGCUCAACCCUGGGCCUGCGUUCGAUACGGGCAGACUAGAGUUCGGUAGGGGAGUCUGGAAUUCCUGGUGUAGCGGUGAAAUGCGCAGAUAUCAGGAGGAACACCGGUGGCGAAGGCGGGACUCUGGGCCGAUACUGACGCUGAGGAGCGAAAGCGUGGGGAGCAAACAGG
Molecule: ribosomal RNA, 253 nt
Filed under: uncultured bacterium
Lineage: Bacteria
Description: partial 16S ribosomal RNA
Rfam family: Bacterial small subunit ribosomal RNA
Source: RNAcentral